This 2957-nucleotide small RNA is filed under the name Histoplasma capsulatum var. duboisii H88. RNAcentral describes it as "Histoplasma capsulatum H88 hypothetical RNA". Lineage: Eukaryota; Fungi; Ascomycota; Eurotiomycetes; Onygenales; Ajellomycetaceae. The record is from RNAcentral.
CAUGAUAUCAGUUAUGCGCGUAUACUGAUGGAGUUGGAAGGCGGCGACUGUGGAAAAGGUGAAAUAAAACAUUGGUUCAAGACACAUUUAGGGAACUAGGUUCGAAGAAGGCAUUGAUUGGAGGACUCCCUCUCUUGAAAUGAGACGGCGUGAAAAAUGUGCGAAAUAACGAAUACGACCAACAGUCGCUAAAAUUCUCAUAAGUGGUUCGAAGAUUUGGUUAUAACAACAUACUAGCUGGUUGCAAAUCGUGAUUUGGUAACUAGUAAUCUCCCCCGUCUUUGAUCUUACGAAUAGCCCGGCACAUCCUUCAAAUCUCUCGUCGGUAUAUAGCUGGCGCAGUUCCCACCCUCAUCACUCCGAUCCCACGCCCAUCGCCGUACAAACUCCUCUCCCAGCUCGUUGUCGAUCAUCUGGACAACAUACUUCCCAACAUUGGGCAAGAACUUCCACGCAUGGAAGGAUCCGCCGCCUACAAUAUACAGGUUCUGAACAUGGGGAUGUGGUGAAAUUAUCCAGUCCUGAUUUGGCGUGAUGGAAUCCCUGUGGUAUAUUUUGUUAGAUUCAAGUGGACGAUAAUGCGUUUGGCAAUUUUGAUUCGAGCCUCACCAGCACAUCCGAUACUGCUUCGGCUCCAUAUUAUUUAUCCAGUUACCGAAGAGUUUAUCUCGCGCUGCAUUGGCCUCGUCCUUCAGCCCCUGGGGUACGUCUUGGGAAAAGGUCUGUUGAGUGACACGUGGGGGAGGCACAGAAAUGUCCUGCUUGGAGGCUUCGUGGAACACUUUGUGGGUAAAGCUCCGUUCGUGUGUGCAUUUUAUGAGGCCUGGUCCGCUCUGUGGAAUGCAUUCGGCUGGUACGUUGAGAUAUUAGCGAGUCAUUUUCCAAUAGGGAAUCCAGGAGCGAGCUACCUGGGUAUUCACCCAUUGGGUGCACAACAAUGGGACAAUCGCUAAAUUUCUCUACUUGAUCCUCGGGGAGGCUGAAAGCACACAUAAUGGAAGCAGCCGCAACCAUUCGAUUACGGGCUUGUAUCUCUGGACGGUCUGGGGCGCUCUCAGCCAAAAUCCAAGGAGUAUAUGCCCCAGUGCAGAGAAUGACCUUAUCAGCAGACAGUUGGGUAUCUUCCAGGGUCGUAAUUCCGGAACAGUUGCCGUUCGAGUCAAAUGCAACUUUUGUAACCGUCGCCUGGAUAUACUUGAUCCCAAUAUCAACGGCAGACUGGAUGACAGCACGCAAGGCAUUGGCGGCGUCACCCCAUCCUGCAAGGGGAUUCCAAGUACACUUGGUGACUCCAGUCCAAUCUCCGUCCUGAAAGAUUCCACCAAAGCGAGCUUUGGCAUCUUCCGGAUCCAAGAGAACAGCGGGAGAGUUACCUUCGCCAAGCACCUUCUCGUAGCUCCUCACAACAGCCUGGCCAGGCGCCUCAAUGCCGAUAAAUAGGAUACCCGUCUUGUGAAAGUAAGGUUUUAACACAGGAUCGGUACGCCACUGCUCCUGUGCUUCUAGAGCGAGACGCAUAUACAUAGGAUCUUCAUAUUCGGCUCUGAUGAUUUUGUUCAGGUCGUGAGCUGCGGCAGAUGGGCAUGGGUAAGGGGUACGGUCGACCAACGUGACAUGUGCGUUGGGUUUCGCUUUCUUGAGCGCAAGGGCCGUGGAAGCACCAAAACAUCCCGCGCCUACAAUUAAAUAACUGGACGUGUCCAUCGUAGCCAUCAAGCGUAAAGUGGGCGGCGGACAGCAAGUUGAGUAGGCGAUGAAGUAAGGUAGUGUCGGUCGUUGUAUCGCUAUGAGGAAACCAAAGUUGAUGGCUAGGACAAUAUUUAUAGUAGGCCAGACCUGGGCGGCAUCUUCCACGAUUCAUAACCCCGCCUGUUGCCGGUUUGUUGUUACCUCAUGCUAGGUUUCGCUGUGUUCUCCCAUUUUGCUUCUGUUGUGCUCUCUUUUCUCUUUUCUCUUUUCUGUAGCUUCCUGUCCUGCAGGUGAUGACGCCACAGAACAGACCCCUCCUUGCGAAGCAAGUCAUCAUUACGCCCUUGGAAGAACCAGGAUAUGGUAUCCAUGCCAUUAUAUGAUUGGAGAAGUGUUUCGCCGCAUGCGGCUAUCACGCAUUUUCGAAAUGGAAGUAUGAUUAUCAGAUCUUGGCAGUUGCUCGGAUAUUUGCAGAAUACUUUGCUUCGGAACUUGACCUUUUUUAACGAUCCAUAUAUCCACCCACAUUUCUCAUGCGUACUUCGUCAUACAUUAACAGUCAGGCAGGGGUCGCGGGAAGGUAGAACGGACGGAGGAAGAGCAUAGGUACACUCUUCCGCAAUUUUAAUCAGGGAUUUUACAAAGACAAGAAACAGACAAAGCAGAAAACAAAAAAGGGCGGUUCAUGCUUGCAAUUUGCAAUCCAUACCAUUACGCAUUUAUGCAGAUAUCAUAUCAUGUUCAUGGCUCAAGCAAUGAUUCAUCCUCAGUUAUCCAAAGCUUCCCAGAUCCCUCCAACAAUCCAGAAAUCAACAGUCGGGGUCAGAGGCAGCCGGCGACCUCUUUCAGAGCUACUCCCCAUCCUAAUCUCCAACCCCCUUCUAGUAAGGGAGUACGUUUUUUAUACAUUGGUGGGAGAGUUGAGCUAACUACACAUUCAGAAAAAGCCAGCAUUCUCAGCCAGAAAAUUACCCUCAAAUAUAGAAAGUAAGAGAAAAGAAUAUUAAUUGUAACAAAAAUGGGUGUCCGUUCUUGUCUAUUCAAAAGGUGCUCUGACCAAGGUGCCAACCUACCCACCUAGGUGUAGACAAGUAUUGGUUGGAAAAACUGAUGUAAAUAUAUGAGAUGCUCCGAAACAGAAGUGUUAAGGAGUUUGGGAAGCCGCGGCAGGGCAGUACCAAGAUAUGACUUCCUUUGAAUGGUGAUAUGCGAGGAUACCUCCACACCAUCUCUUCGCAAACACCAACACCCUAUGAACUUCUACGACA